GGACUGAGUAUGGAUCUGAGAGGUGAUGGACUCACGCGUAAGCGCGUGUGUGUGUGUGAAAACUUCUGAUAUUUUUUUUUACACCAUAACACUGAGUGUGCGCAAGUUACUAGCUAAGUCUUAUAGGUGUGAUGGAACGUGACAGUGAAUUUCUGCACUUCAUUUAAUUUUCUGUGUGAGUCGAUGCCAAAACAGUUUUUGCACCAUGACGCACGAGUAGGCUGCAUUUAAUACACUGAGUAAGAAGUACAGAAGUGAUAUGAUUUGGAUAGUCGGGAACUGACAUUUUUUCUGAGUUCUGGGUUUUUUCCCCAGAAUUUAUGUUAUAAAAUACCUUAAAAAUAAAAACAAGACAAAUAUAAACACACAAAAUGACUUUAAAAGUCUAACAUUGUCUGUUCUACGAGUGGUUAAUAAAAUAGAGUUCUGCUAAAUGUUGUAUAGGUAAGAUGGUUUUAAUGUUGCUUUUUUAAUUUCUUUCUCAUGUUUGCCUCACUGCUAUAGUCUCCUCUGCGCUCUGAAAGCUUGUGUAGGUACACGCAUAUUUAGUAUGGUACAUUGCUUUUUUUUCAAUUAAUAGUCAGUAUUGCAGCCGAACCUGCAGUGUAACCAUUCAUUAUGGCUCUGUGACACUUAGAGACUUUCUUAAGGGAGAUAAUAGUAAUUAUUGGUUUGCUGUAGUCUGGUUGUCCGGGGUGGCACGGCUCUCUCCCUUGAGAGAUGGGCGCUGUCCAGGGUGCUGGAGAUGCUGAAACGCAGAGGUGUAAAGGUCAUAUUUCUUUCUUUCUUUCUUUCUUUCUUUCUUUCUUUCUUUCUUUCUUUCUUUCUUUUUUUCUUUCUUUCUUUCUUUCUUUCUUUCCUGUCUCCCACGGGAACCGUUCACACAUCACAUUUGGGCACAGUGCCCCUCACCAACACAUGUAGCUCUACCACCUAGAUCCUCUCCAAUCACUGAGACAUGAAGAGCAAUGUCAUCCUUUUUCUUGGUAUCGCAUCACGUUAGUCUCGCGUCCUUUCUGCUAAACGAGCUUAGAUUAGAAAUACCUCAGCCCCCUUUUUAGAGUUCAGCUGUAGUGAGGUGGCGGCCGCUUUAAACUGAGCAGGCUUCGACGUCAGAGCCGUUUAAGACAUGUGGUUUUGAC
Long non-coding RNA from Astatotilapia calliptera (eastern happy), 1142 nucleotides. The record is from Ensembl. NCBI's taxonomy places the organism in Eukaryota, Metazoa, Chordata, Actinopteri, Cichliformes, Cichlidae.